This is a long non-coding RNA of Pseudopipra pipra, 3794 nucleotides long. RefSeq lists it as uncharacterized. Lineage: Eukaryota; Metazoa; Chordata; Aves; Passeriformes; Pipridae. The transcript has 3 exons. The record is from RefSeq and is a predicted model, not a curated record.
GCCGCGCCGGCCGCCUCCCGCGCCCGCUCGCCGCCGCCUCCAUCGUCCGCCUUCCGUGCGCAGGGGGGGGAAAGCGACAGAGAGAGCGCGUUCCCAGCAGGAGUUUCAAGUAAACAGCAAGGCCCUCUGGACUCUGUGGAUCUUCCAACCAAUAUUAUGGCCAAUUUUCCACUCCUCUCAUCCAUCUUCCUAACACUGAGGACAGAACACCUGUGCAAGGAUUUAUUUCUUUAUCUGUCUUACCCAUUACUGAAGUACGUAAGGUUGGAACACCCCUAAGCAGCAAUGCACACUAUGCAUUUCCCAAUGACAGAACUUUUGUCCAAUAUCUCUUCACCUGCUUUUUUUAAAAAAGAGACCAGACACACAGCUACUCCAGCAAACCCCACAUCCAGAGAGACUCCCAUAUUGCUGGUUUAAAUGGAUAAAAAAGUAAUACAACAACUAAGAGAUAACCUAUAAGGCACCUAUAAACUUAAUGGAGCAUGGAAAAUCCAGUCUGCAGACAGAUUUUCCUGCUGCCAAACAACCAAGCAAAGCAAAGGCAAAGAGAAUCUUCUUUGGACGACAUGCAACAAAGCCAACUUUACACAGGCUGACUGCUUCAAAAUCACAUCAAAUAACAAAGAAGUUGCCUCAUCUAUGAGCUAUGGAGGGCAGGAACAUUUUGUUUUCAUAGCAUAAUUUGGUAAAACUGACUCAACACAAUCAGAUAAGGCUGAUCACUUCUGCCUCUAUGUCUUUUCAUGCUGGUGCCAGGUCAUGCCCUUGAGAGGUAUGGGAAAAUGAUUCCAAGGGUUGUUUGUGUUCUAAAGAGAAGACUGCUCCCUUCAAUGAAUCCAUGGAGUUUCCCUGUGCACACGAAUAUUUCCAUGCAAAUGGUGUAAAAUACAUGAGCAGAGUUGGGAAGAGGGCUCAGAAGUACAAGCGUAGAGAAGCUUCCACUGCUGUGCAGGGAAAGUGCUCCAAUAGGUGACAAAGCUGGACAAAAGCCUCAAAAUAACAAGAUCCUCAUUUCCAAAGACUGAUCGUUUUGCUGGGCAGGUGUCUUUUUGCUUGGAUGUUAUAAUCAAUCUCUGGUGUAUAUUACCCAUGCAAAAGAAGAAUUACAAGAACAUGAAGAAGACAGAAAGGUCAAGCCCAAAAACUGGAAAAAAAUGGCUGGUAUUCUUUAUGUAGUUUCUUCAAAAAAACCACUUCUAAUUUUUUGGGGGUUUCUUGGUUUUUGGUUUUUUUGCUAUGUCUUGCUGCUCUGCCCAAACACCUCUGCCUUGUUCAGCCUAUGUUAAAACUUCACUCUGAGACUGGGUCCAAGGUAAGACAAAAGGUGCUUGUCUGUUGGGACCCUGCUGUACCGAUUGCAAACGCUGGAAGCACCUGCCUCUGAGGUGUGACACUGAGAGAAUGAGAACUAGAUUGGACACACCAAAAGUGAUAGUUACACCUCCAUCCAGGCUCAUUAUAUCCUACAAGCAGAUCUGGUUGUAACAGCCAAGAGGUACAGCUGUAAAGAAAACCCUUUGCAGCUCAGGCUGAAGCAUGCUCAGAGCUCACAGAGCCUUCAACUAUUAACCUCAAAGCUCUAGAAACUCUUUAGAGAGCUUGUACAAACUGCAUUUUUUGGCCUCUAACUUGGGUCAGAUUUGGGCAAAUAUUUAUGAAGAUGGCAAAAAACCAAAGACUCUUCCCCAAAGGGAUUUCAGAUCCUACUUCAGAAAUAUAAGGGCGUAAGAGCUUCUCAGAGAACUGCUGCCAGAAUUUUUUUUAACAUAGCAAAACAUAUUUACCCCUAACUUCACUCCUAGCUGCGUCUGAACCAUGUUGGCUGCAUUUUUUCAUUAGAAAAUUAAAUAGGCUGAAGCAGACACCUUUCAGAAUGAACAGAUAAGAUGCAACAACUCUUAGAAGCAACGGAAAAUGAAGUCUUAUGAUGUGACACAUUUGCCAAUGCUAGCAAUAGACAAAGAUGAGCCCUGGCUAUAAAAUAUAAACAUAUUUAUAUUGCAAACAUGAUAGAAAGUUAAAAAAACUAACAAAAUGCAACAUUCUAUUAACAGCUCUUUCUAUAAGAUACUCUUUCAGACUGCAUCCAUCAGGACUAAAGACCUGCUUACACUUCACUAUGCUUUUUCCCUGGAAUCCGUUAUUGUGGAAAUUGCAAAAUUAGAUUUAAAGUCACCAAAGUACAAACAGAUAUACGAAAAUGACUAUUCUUUGCAGGCUAUUCCUCCUCAUUUGACAAGAAAAUGGAAAGGAACAGAUCACAAUUAACGUGGAGAUGGACAACAAUAUCUCUGAUCUCUGUGGAUAAUCCAUCUCAGAAUAUGUUACUGUAUUUCACAGCAUUGCAAGAGAAACCAAAACCUGCAUUAAGAUGUUUGAUUUUCUUUCAACUACAAGAGGACAAAAGCAUUUCGUAGUUACCAGCACAGCUUAAUCCAACUAUAUAAAGAGGAGACUGGUAUUUUUUUUCUGCAGUGGUUACCCUCUCUUUAUUACAGAAAAAUGUAAAUAAAAAAAUAGUUACUACUCUACCUCUAUUUAAAAUAUCACAACACAAAAUGUUUUCAGUGAGCUGCCUGUUUUGUAGUUGCAUGAUCACCACUUUUUCCAAAUUUCAAGGGAAAAAUUACCUUACAGGACUGCAGGACCAUCAAGAGCAGCUUUUCUUAAGAAUAAUAAAAAAAAAAUCUUACAGAAGACUGUGUUAUUUUAUUCCACUAUAAAAUACAGCUCAUAGGACAGACAUAUUUUAUUAUUUUUUCUCAUGUCAUCUUUUGUCCAGUUCGUUUUUGUACUCUAAUAUUUUUGUUUUUCUCUUCAGUUGUUAAAUCCACUUUCAUAAACAUGGGCUAAUUCACAGUAUACCGGUAGAAACAAAAAUCAACUAAUGCCUCACACAGUGAUUUCUCAAUAACUUCUGACCGGGCUGUAAAACCAUAAAACACUCUAAAUUUUUUGACCACCACCUCCUUCAGCAAAAGGCACCCAGGGAUUGUACUGAAACUUCCUAGUGGUCUCACACUGAGCUAUCACUCUCAGAGAUGCACAACGAAAAGCCGACAUUCGGCUCAACACAACCUUCCCUGCAUUUAUCAACUUUGCAAAUUGCGGUGAAAUGAGCACAAGCCACAACAUGGAAAAAAAAAAUCAAAAUCCUUUGUUGCUGAAGCCAAUUUUGAAUAUUGCAUCUGAUAAUGCACAGAACAAGCCCUUUUAGAAAAACUGUUGGUGCUGUCAUCUGCAUACUGAGUAUCCGCAGCAAAGGCAACGUUAAUAACAAGUUAUCCUUGUAGAGGGGUCAAAAGGACACUGCUGGUAAGACAGAGAUGACAGACAACAGGCAUCAGGGAAAAGAUUAAUAUCCCUACACAGUCAUACAUCAAGGAACUCAAUUUUUGCCUGUAAUCCCAAAACUGCUGAGAGUAGGAUUAUUUCUGCUUUCCCUAUUACUAAGAAGAAAGAAACCGCUCAUGGGAAUAGGGCACUGCUAAAUACGGGUCCUUAUGUGAGCAGAAAGGCUGCAGUUAGGUCCUAGGGCAAAAAAAUAAAGCUCAGUUGUGUGAUGUUCCCAAGCAAGGGUCCCAUGGCAAGUGAGGUUAGGGAUUCAUUUUGCAGGCACUUAAAAACGUGAAAAAAGUUUGUGUAGUUACAGAAAGACAAAGGAAGUGAGAAAAGAGGAACCUCAUGCAGCUUUUCACAGAAUCAUAGAAUCAUUUAUGUUGGAAAAGACCUUUGAGUACAACCACUGGAAAGUUUACAGUUAAAAAGGAAAAAACCUUUAAUGUUCUUUG